CAAAUAGUGCAAUGCAAGAAUGCAAGCUGCAAAUAAUUGUAAUAAUUAUUCAAUUGUAUUGUGAUUGUGUCUGAGUCUGUGUGGGGAAUUGUGUAGAAAUAGAAAGUGCUGUUGCCUUUAUUGAAUUAAUUAAUUAAGGAAACAAAGCCUUAACUUGCCGUUAACUCUUAUUGCACAUGGCUGGAUGAGAAGGUAAAAAGAAAACAACAAAUAAUAUGGAAUUGUGAGUUAAUUACAACAAAAGAAUAAAGGAAUACAAGAGAAAAAGGAAAAUCACUCAAGUAUAUUGUAAAAUACCCAAUGAGCAUAGCAAGAUUUGACUACGGGACGAUUCAAUAUUGAAUGAGAGAGGUUGAGAAGGUAAAAAGAAAGCAACAGAUGAUAUUGAUCUGAGAGUUAAUAUAAUACAACAGAAGAAUAAAGAAAGACAAGAGAAAAAGGAUAAUCACUCAAGUAUAUUGUUAAAUACCUCAUGUGCAUGGCAAGAUUUGACUACAGAAUGAGUCAAUCGUA
Molecule: long non-coding RNA, 513 nt
Organism: Macrosteles quadrilineatus (aster leafhopper)
Lineage: Eukaryota; Metazoa; Arthropoda; Insecta; Hemiptera; Cicadellidae
Exons: 3
Source: RefSeq, a predicted model, not a curated record